Paramuricea clavata is the source of this 476-nucleotide non-coding RNA. The record is from the annotation of a GenBank genome assembly. Lineage: Eukaryota; Metazoa; Cnidaria; Anthozoa; Malacalcyonacea; Plexauridae.
UUGAUAUUAUACAGGGUGUAUCAAAAUAAACGCAAUUCAUCUUUUGUGCUUAAUAACUUUCGAAAUACUAUUUCUAGUUAAACGCUUUUAGGCUUACUUCAAAGCCUGUUCUUUUCUCUUCCAAACAAACUAUUAUCCUUGUCUCCAAUGCUAGUAAUAAUUGCACAGGAAAAGAUUUAGUAAAACCUAUCAUUUUUAGUUGCUGUUUAAUUAUGCAAGUUUACUAUGUUAUUGUUUAGUCGGUUUAAAUGUUAGAAUUUUCUUCUUUAAACUUUAAUGUUGUCGUCACUAUAUCUGGAAAACCACGUAAGAACAAAUUAAAAGUAUUUUAAAAGAGACCAGGUUGUUUGAAAAUCCUAAACGAAUGCUAAAAAUCAUAGAAUCAAAACAUUCUGGUGUCUGAGCCAGAGUGUCAUCGAAUUGCGAUGUAAUGUAAACAGAAAUUAUAGUAAGCUGAUGUCAGUCAGCUUAGAUGG